CAUCGAUCGGCAGGCGGACUCCCAACCACUGCGCCACCCGGGAAGCCCACUCCUCUCUCCUUUAAAGCAGGCUGUUUCUCACUGUUUGCUCCAUGACUGGCCAGAAGACGGCUUUGGAUGUUGGCUUUAAUACUUCCCUUUUUCACAAGUUAAAAGUCAACUUUUAUUCCUAAGAGGAAACAAUAGUGAAGAUAACAUAAAAAAAAAAGUAACAAUAGUUUUAGCUAAUUGAAAAGAAAACUACAAAUAAAGUGAUUCAACCCUCAGAAUGCACAAAAGAUGCGACUAGAAAGGAACGUCUCGAUUUUCAAGGCCCCCCCAUACAUAAUCUCUGGAACACCAACUCCCCUUGAAUAGAAAGCUAUUAACCGAUUCUCACCUUAUUUAUAGGCACCGUGUUAUUUUAACGAAAACUAAAUCUUGCUUGCUCUUUCUUUCCAGUCCUUUCUCUGCUCAAUUGAUUUCCUGUGGCUACAGGGGAAUCAUUUAUAUUUAAAUCUUCACCUGAGUCCCCCAAGAGUUUGAGCCCACCUGAAUGGGGAGAUAAUCGCUCUUAGCCAAAUUGAAAAUGCUCUCGAGAACUUCCGGAGGACUCAUCCAGCUUCCCACACGGAAUCUAUCCAGGUGUGACCUCAAUUGUGAUUUCUGCACAGUGGUAUUAAAUCAAAAAUAUACGGUAAGAUUUUGUGAAAGUGGUAUGUAUGGGGGUGGAGGGGGAUGGUAAAGAGAGGUGGAGAGAGAGACCUUCUCAGGAGAGAGGGCUGGGAAAGCCCGUGCAGGGGCAGAGCUGGGGGCAGGGACACAACUGGACACAGAUGGCGCCUCUGCUGGCCUCUGUCUUCCCGAUGACGGUCUUCUGGGGCUUUGCCUCUCCCAGGGUGGCUCAAACCUCUCCGCCAUGUUAAAGACUGGGUGUCUCCCCCGCCCACUCCAGCCUUGGGAUGUCUCGGGCGCUGAUGUUAGACAGCACUUAUCACAGUGCCAAGCACUGAGAAGCAUAUCAAAUAAAUAUAGUUACUGUUAUUCAUCAUGUAAUCAGAGCGAGUGCUCCAGAAAAGGCUGUUAAAUGAAUCAUGAACGGACUAGGCUCACUUAGCUUCCUGGGGGUGAGUGUUGCCCCAGUCUGAACCAGGACACAGCACACAGACGAGGCUCUCACGGGGCUGCUCGACAUCGGCUAGGACAGUCACCGGCCCCGCCUUCAGAAGCAGACGAAGCUUCCGCUGUGAUGCUAGCUGAAGGAAGCAUGUUUGCUGUAGGGGGCAGCAACUGAUGUACGGCCCUGAGUUUGCAGGUUGGGGCCCCAUCAAGGACCAGGACGAGAGCGCCAGCAAUUUCUCCGAACCCGCUUUUCUAACAGCAAACCGUUUCAUCCACAGUUAAAGCCCAGCAGGAUGAGUCACCCGAACGCUUGCAUCUCAUUUGCAAAAUGGAAGGAUGGGAGCCACGGGUCUCUGAGGUUCCCUUGUGCUGUGACAGUCUUAAAGCCACACAGGGUCCCCAGUUUACAGACACGGAGAUAACCACACACCUUUGCGUUUUCCGAGAAUUAUGAGGAUGCCAUGCUGCGAAGUGACACACAGAAAACAUGACCACACUGUUGCCAAACUCAAGUGUGAACUCCUGCCCCUCUACAUACUGGCUGCGAGCAGGAAAUACAGAACGACAGCCCCACCUCCUACCCACCAGCAAUAAACAGGAGGAAAUGUGGUUGCAGUGUGAUGACAGUGGCUCGUGGACCAGAAGACUGCGUCUGAGUUAUUUCUCAAUCUCAAAUCUAAAGCUGUGAAGAACAUUUUUCUUGGGUGCUGUCUGGAAUAUGACAGUUCUGGGCAGAAAAGUCCAUUUCCUUGAAAGGAAUUUUGUGCUCAGCUGACCUUGGUAUCCAUCCUCCCAUCUCACCUCACAGCAUCUGUCCACUUCCAGAAGUUGUCUAAAGACCACCCUGGGAUCAAAGCCUUGCCCCUGCUUUCUAGCUGCGACUGUGGUCACUGUGGUGAAAAACAAGAUCAUAAACUCCAGAGAGAUGGCAACCUUUAGUACCAAGAUCUGCGCCAAGACAUCACUGGGGUUUCCGACACUGGGGCUGGGGAGAGCUGACAGCAGAGAAAAUCCAAGCAGCAGUAAAGACACAGGCAGGGAAGAAAGAAGCCACCAGUGUUUGUGAAGUAGCCGCAAACUGUACACAUGCUGUUUCUUCACUGUUCAUCCAACGUGGAUUGAGGUGAAGAAACAGGUCCAAAGAGGUUAAGUAAUCUGUCAAACAGCUGGAAAUAGACACCACCAGAUGUUUAUUCUUGAGAAAAUGCUUUAGGCACAUCUUUGAAAACCUCCUCAAGUCAGUGUUAAUCCAUGUAACGAACCUUUCCAUGAAGAGGUGACCUGCACUGAGUGCGCCCCCCUCCCAAACAUAUCCACGUCCAAAUUCUUGCAACCUCUGAAUGAUCUGGAAAAAGGCUCUUUGCGAUGCGAUAAAGUUAAGGCCCUUGAGAUGAGACCAUCCUUGAUCACCAGAGUGAACCGUAAACCAAUGAUAAAUGUCUUUGCAAGAGACAGAGGAGGAGGUGGCAACGAGAGGAUGAACAGAGAUGAAGCCCCGGGUCCCGGGCAGCCAGGAGCCACCGGCAGUUGGGAAAGGUAAAGUGAAUUCUCCCCUAAAGCCUCCAGAGGGAGCACAGUUCUGGCCUCCAGACCUGACAGAGAACACAUUUCGGUUGUUUGAAGCCACCUGGUUUCUGGUGGCUCGUCACGGCAGCCUGAGGCAGGCAGCCGGGAAGGUAAGACUCAGCGUCAGGAGUUGAGGCUCGUGUCCAGGCCUGGGUGUCUGGGUGGACGCAGUGGAGGGGAUGGCGCUGAGUGAGUGGCGUGGGCGACCGGGGGAGGCUCACCGUCUGGAAGCUGCAGGAGGAGACUCGCGGUUGAUAUAACGAGCCAGCUUUCCAGCCAGGAGAGCUGUGGGCAGCGCGUGCACUCCCAGUCGUGCACGGAGCUGCCCGUCACAGGGGGUCGUCUUGCCCGCUUGGGAGGUUAUUCCUCCCGAGGUCUGUUUGGAGGUGGAACGGGUGGGGUCUGACGCCAACCCCACUCACAUGUUCUCCCACUGAAGAAGGCCAGGGUCAGGCAGGCGGCGAGCUCGCAGAAACACUUGCUCACAGAAUCCACGGACACAAGUCGCACGGUAUCUCAUAAAGUGUUUUUCCUUUAAAGUUUUUCGUUCACUGUAGUAUUUUAGCAGAACGUGCCAGGAGGCAGAAAGCAACAACCUUUCUGUUCUCCAUUUCUGGAGCUAGGUGGCUCUUCCCCGCCCUUCUCCGCAUGGUCACCUGCAGUAAGAUAGCUGGACAGCGGGGACAGCGCAGAGUUGGACAUGUCACACCUGUGAGCUGUUACUCCAUGUGCUAGAGCCAACCUUGGAAACUGUUCCACGGCCCCCUUAUUCCUGCAGUUUCCAUCCCACUGUGUGGACCAGAUGGACCUCGGGGAGCCUGUAGGUGCCACGCACGUGCCUGUUCACCGUCCAUUGGAAACAACGGCCCUUGUACCACCCUGGCAGUCUCACAGUCAAGAUCCAAAACCUGGGCUGCCCUAAAUUGUAUCAAAAUAUCUCGAAUCAGAGCAGAAAUCUUAGCAUUCUUUCCUCCAAGGCUGAUAGUUAAAAUACUAUUUUCUAACCAGUAUGAUAUGGUGUCCCUGACCAAUCAGAAGAGAUGCUGGCGGUGACCCCAGUUACAGGGAGGAAAGCGCUGAGUCACUGCCCGGUUGGCCAGCUUCAGGGUUCCCGCUGCCACACACCUAUAAGGGACACAGGGGGCGUCCUCUGGGCUGUUGAAAAGACUCCGCUUACUUUGUGCAAUAGGGAAGAAAGAGAGGAGAGAGAAGUGAACAAAACUGUUCGAGUGAAAUAUCUAAAUAUCAAGUCAUAAGUUAAAGGGAACCUUUCUGGAAGUAAAGGAGUCUUCCGGAAACAAAUUAUCACCUUGCUGGUAACAGUGGCCCUUUCUCCAUGACCACUGUUCCCUGGAGUUGAAUAGGAUACUGUUCUGGCUCUUAAUUUGCUGCCAGACCCUCGGGGGAAGGAAGCCGAUGAGUAAAUCACUGAUUACAGUCCAGUCUAAUAAGUGCUUCUGUGAUGAAAAUCAUGAUAAUAAUAAUAAUGAUAGGUGGUCAAACAGUCUAAAUAUUUUAUAUGGAUCGUCUCACUGAAUAUUCCUAACCACCCACGAAAUAGGGGCUAAUAAUGGCUCCACUCUGCAAAUGAGGAAACCAAGGCAGAACAAAUCACUUGCAGAGUCAAGAUGUCAAUCAAGCAGCCUGGCUCUGACCUGACCCCGCCCCCCCUGCAUCCCUUGGUUAGGCUCCCGGCAAGACAAAACUGUAGUACCAGAUCAGAGUGGAGAUCACAGGAGGCUUCCAGGAGGAGGGGCUGCAGAACAAUAGACUAGAUGUAAUGAAGCUACAGAAGAAAGAUCACCUGCCCCCACUCCGUGUUAAUGAGAAAAGAUACGACUUGCCAUUUGCCUGUUUUAAUUCAAACCUUCCAAUCUGGUGAUUAUCUUUUCAUCUCCAUACAUGGUCUUAGGGCUCACAUUUGCCCAUCACCUUCA
Molecule: long non-coding RNA, 4604 nt
Organism: Aethalodelphis obliquidens (Pacific white-sided dolphin)
Lineage: Eukaryota; Metazoa; Chordata; Mammalia; Artiodactyla; Delphinidae
Exons: 4
Source: RefSeq, a predicted model, not a curated record